This 701-nucleotide long non-coding RNA is filed under the name Anser cygnoides (Swan goose). RNAcentral describes it as "lncRNA (ENSACDG00005018842.1)". The record is from RNAcentral. Lineage: Eukaryota; Metazoa; Chordata; Aves; Anseriformes; Anatidae.
GCUUCUUGUUAAAGUUCUAUCUUAACUUGACUUUUUCUUUACUUUUUUUCCAGACUUCAAACUAAAAAGUCCCCCAGCUGAAUUAUGCCCCUUCGUCAUGGAAUUCACACCCCACCCCCUCCACUGACGCAAACUUUGGAGAGCAGCUCCAUGGAGGAUAACUUAAGUGCUGCCUGCAGACCUAAGUCUAUGGGUCCUACAAAGGCAAAGAAUCUUUUCAAACUUGACAGAAGUUGGAUGAUGUCAAUGAAUGUGCAAAUAUGCCUGAUGCUAUGGAACUAGUCCAAAGGCCAUUAAAAUCAACUGCAAUCUUUCCACUGACUUGUGUGUAUUCUGCCUCACCUCCUUGGGGUGAAAUACUGUCAGUGAAAUGAGAUCAAGAGUGGUGCAUGAUGCCAAUUUUCAAAAUUUUAUUGCCAGCAGAGAAAUGUUUCUUGAAGAACUGUUGGGUUUUGCCAUCUGCGUUCUCAGUCCUGAAGAUAGUUUUCUUACACUUCAUCACUGCACAAGAAGUUCAAACCCUGGAUUUAAAAGAAAAGACAUGUCAUAAACUUCAAGCUCCCAGAUUUUCUGGCAUCCAUGGACUCUUCUGUCUGCACAGCAGAGGAAUUGCACUGGUUCUGGAGGAGUUGUUACAGAUGUACACUGGCACGAGUGGAAAGAAGGAAGUUGCUUGGGAGUUCUACCCAUAUAGGAAUUAA